GACGGAGGAUGCAAGCGUUAUCCGGAAUGAUUGGGCGUAAAGCGUCCGCAGGUGGCAGUUCAAGUCUGCUGUCAAAGACCGGGGCUUAACUUCGGAAAGGCAGUGGAAACUGAACAGCUAGAGUAUGGUAGGGGCAGAGGGAAUUCCUGGUGUAGCGGUGAAAUGCGUAGAGAUCAGGAGGAACACCGGUGGCGAAGGCGGUUCUCUGGGCAUUACCUGACGCUGAGGAGCGAAAGUGUGGGGAGCGAACAGG
RNAcentral lists this ribosomal RNA (253 nucleotides) under uncultured bacterium. Its description in RNAcentral is "partial 16S ribosomal RNA". It matches the Rfam family "Bacterial small subunit ribosomal RNA", at positions 524 to 776 of the family's 1533-position model. The record is from RNAcentral.